This 257-nucleotide ribosomal RNA is filed under the name uncultured bacterium. RNAcentral describes it as "partial 16S ribosomal RNA". It matches the Rfam family "Bacterial small subunit ribosomal RNA", at positions 524 to 776 of the family's 1533-position model. The record is from RNAcentral.
UACGUAGGGGGGCUAGCGUUGUCCGGAAUCAUUGGGCGUAAAGCGCGUGUAGGCGGCCCGGUAAGUCCGCUGUGAAAGUCGGGGGCUCAACCCUCGGAUGCCGGUGGAUACUGUCGGGCUAGAGUGCGGAAGAGGCGAGUGGAAUUCCUGGUGUAGCGGUGAAAUGCGCAGAUAUCAGGAGGAACACCGGUGGCGAAGGCGGGGUCUCUGGGCCGAUACUGACGCUGGAGGAGCGAAAGCCGUGGGGAGCAAACAGG